RNAcentral lists this long non-coding RNA (267 nucleotides) under Ursus thibetanus thibetanus. Its description in RNAcentral is "lncRNA (ENSUTTG00000017506.1)". Lineage: Eukaryota; Metazoa; Chordata; Mammalia; Carnivora; Ursidae. The record is from RNAcentral.
AUGAAAGUGAUAAAGAUUAUUUGCAGAUGUCCUGGUAGAAUAAGUUGUUUUCCUUUAUACAUAUGUUUUUCAGGUUCAUGUCCCAAGAUCAUGGUGAACCUAAUGGUUAUUAGCAGGAGACAUUUCUGGUAUCCAGGUUUUCAGGUGAGCAUUCAAGAGAUAACGGUGUCUCUAAUAAUGAGGUCAUCUAAUAUUCAAACAUCUGAACUCCAAUCAAGAGAUGAUGGAAGGUCUUCGAGAAAAUAUACCAGAAAAAUCCCAAAUUAA